This 563-nucleotide unclassified non-coding RNA is filed under the name Phaeosphaeriaceae sp. IHEM 28147. Its description in RNAcentral is "sequence contains 18S rRNA gene, ITS1, 5.8S rRNA gene, ITS2, 28S rRNA gene". The stretch from base 202 to 355 matches the Rfam family "5.8S ribosomal RNA". The record is from RNAcentral. Lineage: Eukaryota; Fungi; Ascomycota; Dothideomycetes; Pleosporales; Phaeosphaeriaceae.
GAUCAUUAAUUGCCGACCAAUAUUGGUCGGUCUGAGGGCUUGGAAAUUUCAAAAGCUUGGGUACGCCCAGUUUUUAAAGAGUACAUUCCUUUCUACCCUUGUUCUUUUGCGCACUUAUGUUUCCUCGGCAGGUUAGCCUGCCGAUUGGACAAUCAAAACCCUUUAUUUCUCAAUCAGCGUCUGAAAAUAAUAAAUAUUUACAACUUUCAACAACGGAUCUCUUGGUUCUGGCAUCGAUGAAGAACGCAGCGAAAUGCGAUAAGUAGUGUGAAUUGCAGAAUUCAGUGAAUCAUCGAAUCUUUGAACGCACAUUGCGCCCCUUGGUAUUCCAUGGGGCAUGCCUGUUCGAGCGUCAUUUGUAAACUCAAGCUCUGCUUGGUGUUGGGUGUUUGUCUUUUUUAAAGACUCGCCCUAAAUACAUUGGCAGCUAGUAUAUUAGUUUGAAGCGCAGCACAUUUGCAAUUCGAGCUGGUUAUAUUGGCAUCCACGAAGCAUAACAUCACGUUUGACCUCGGAUCAGGUAGGGAUACCCGCUGAACUUAAGCAUAUCAAUAAGCGGAGGA